ACAACAGCGUGGAAGAAGGCACUUUAAACUCAGACUGUCUUCAGCCAUCAGUGACUGACUUCCUGGAUAUAAUCACUGAUUCAGACAAUGGAGCAAAAUACAUAUUAGAGCAGGAGCCAGCAGGAAAAGGAGGAUUGAUAUUUGGUCCUGCUGACAACUCGGAAACUCAGUCUGGCACUUCUGAAUCAGGAAAUUCAGCAUGUGCUGGAAGGAUAAUGCUGAAUGACUCUGAUCCUUUGCUGCCCUCCUCUGGCUCUCCUUUUCAUUCAGCUCUGCAGGGAGAAACCAUUCGAACCUUUAAUGCUGUGUCAGUGUUUCAGGGUGAGGACAGUGGUGUCCGUACUAUGGAACAAGCUGUAAGUUCACAGCCAGUACCAUUAGAAUCUGAGUCUAAUACUGACAACAUGGAAAAUAGUUCUCCUGCAUCAGCCUUGGAUGAUAAAGGUGAGCAAAGCAAUGAGGAGGAGCAAAAAACUAUCAAGCCUACAAGUAAAGAGUUCAGGAAAACCUGGGGGUUUCGAAGGACUACAAUUGCUAAGCGAGAAAGUGCAGGAGAUACUGAUGUGGACUGUAGUGAACAACAGCCACAACAGCAGCAACAAAGCUUAAACCUCAGGCGUAGUGGUCGGCAACCAAAGCGAACAGAAAGAGUGGAAGAAUUUCUUACAACAGUAAGACGCAGAGGAAGGAGGAGUGUUCCUACUACUCUGGAAGAUUCAAGUGAACCAGCAUCCUGUCCAGCUACAGAUGCUGAAACUGCUUCAGAAGAUAGUGUUGAGAGCACUCCCGAUAUAAAACCUGUGACUCGGAGGAUUAACACUAGGAGUAGCAAGGAUCAGAAAGGCUCUAAAAGCAGAUGCACAAAAGAGGAAGAAGAAGAAGAAGAAGAGGAGGAGGAGGAAGAAGAGGAGGAAGAUGAUGAUACUUCUGAUAGUGAUAGUGAUGGGUUAACACUAAAGGAGCUGCAGAAUCGACUAAGAAAGAAACGUGUUGAACAGAAACCUGUGCAGCUGACAUUAAAGGAUAUACAGAACCGUCUGAGGAAAAGAAAUGCAGAACAAGAUCCUACAGAAACAGGUGAUGUCCAGCCUGAAAAACAAGGUGAGUCUGAGUUGCCUGUCAAACAAGAGCCUGAGACUGCAGACAACACUGAGAUUGCAAGUCAAGUGAUUGUGUCUGAGGAAGACACUGAAGAUCUUCAGGUUCAGAAGGAGGUAAAGCCUGCCCUUGGCGCAAAAGGGAUCACAGAUGAAGAACCCGAAGAACUGCCCAAAAGCAAACCUGAGUCUGAGAUUUAUGACCCAAAUGCACUGUACUGUAUUUGUCGUCAGCCUCAUAACAACAGGUUUAUGAUUUGUUGUGAUAGAUGUGAGGAAUGGUUUCAUGGUGACUGCGUGGGUAUUUCUGAAGCUCGAGGGCGAUUGUUGGAAAGGAAUGGUGAGGACUAUAUCUGUCCGAACUGCACCAUUCUACAGGGACAGGAUGAGCCUGCUUCAGAAAUAGACCAGCAGGAAGCUAAAGCGGGGCAAGUAAAUGUGGAUGGCACAGAAUUCACAAGCAUAGGAACAAUUGAACAAAAAUCUGUUGAGGACCAAGGAAUCAAGGGUAGGAUUGAAAAAGCUGCAAAUCCAAGUGGGAAGAAAAAACUAAAGAUAUUUCAACCUGUAAUUGAAGCUCCUGGUGCAUCGAAGUGCAUUGGUCCUGGCUGUUUUAAUUUGGCUCAGCCUGAUUCUGUGUAUUGCAGCAAUGACUGCAUUCUCAAACAUGCUGCAGCCACUAUGAAGUUUUUAAGUGCUGGCAAAGAUGCAAAACCAAAACCUAAAGAGAAGAUCAAACCAAAAUCUGAAAAACCUGGGAUGCCAAAAUCUCAACUGCAGGCAGGUAUUAAGCCUCUUUCAAACCAAAAGAGACAAUUUCCUGAGAAAAGAGAGAUGAAUAUGAAGAAGACCGUUUUGACAACUGCCAAGACUGAGGCAAACAUUCAACCUAUUGUUAAAGAGCCAGCAGCAGAAAACAGCACACCGUCCUGGGCAAGCGAUCAUAAUUACAAUGCUGUAAAGCCUGAAAGGACUGCUGCCAUUUCAUCUUCACUGUUGUUCAAAUGUAUGUAUCGCAUAGGGAUAUUCCUGAAUAAUCAUUUACAUUUUCUUUGAAUAUCCAUCCAUUCUUGGCUCUGCAAGACUAGGCAGUUUAGGAUUUGGGGUUUUUUUUCUUAGUAUGGCACCAAACUACUUUUUGCCACCUUCAAAGAUUCGCACACAGAGAUACACGCAAAUGGGAGACACUUUUAGAAGUUUCAUUUGUAUCAUGUGUCAGUUGUAUGAUUAAGAGCCUAUCAAUCUACACAGCUGAUUUCUGGAUGAAAACUACAUGAUUAAGCUUUAAAUUUUUCCCAUAAAGACAGUAACUGUUUCUAAUCUAGAAAAGGUAAGUAUUGAUACAUUUGUGUUAAGUUUUACAAAAAGGUUGCAGACUAUGCACUGUGAAUCAGCAAUUGACUGUACUAAUUUGAAUUGUAUUUUUGUAAUUUAGAUUUGGCACCUGUCUCUCAGGUCUUGCAUUUUCAGUGCUAGUGCCGAGAAUGAAAUCUUCAACGUGGUAUCCAACGAUACUUUACACUUCUGCAAACAGCUUUUAACUGUCAAGUAUAUCCAAGUUCUUCCUGCUGCUUUUCUUCCUUACAUGAAAUAAUUUAAGAACCAUUCUUUACUUUUAAGUUUGGGGGGGGGGGGGGCAGUACUUUUUUUUUUUUUUUUUAAUUUAUUUUUUAUUUUUCCUCUCCCCCUGCCCCCGUCUAUUUGUAUGUUCAUACUUCACACAUUAUCCACACACACAAGAACACAUCUUAAGUGGAUAUUAGGCAGAGAUAUUGCCUUGCGUAUUUUUGCAGGUUUUGAAUAGCAUCCUUGUAACUCAUAUAAAGGUAAGUAAAUACUGCUUUGUAGCCUGAACAAGUCUUUCUGCUAAUGACCAUUUUUUGAUUGACUCCAGCUAAGUAGUUUUAUAAUGCAGCGGUGGAACUUCAGAUGAAAUCUUACAUUUCACAUUUACAAAACACAUGACCUGGUGUCUGAUGUUUACUCACUUGAAGAUUAAUGAAUUCAGAAAUUCAGUUCUCACAGCUUUCUUAACCACGCUUUAGCCAAUUUACAUUUUAUUUUCAGAAAUAAACCUAGUUAUUAAACACAUACAUUCUAUGUAAAGUAACCGUUAAGUUUAUAACUUAUCUUUAAGAUGAGAUUUUUUUAGAUGUAAUUUUUAAACACUGAGGGAACACCAGCUACCCUAAAUUGCUGUUUAUUAUUAUAGCACAUACUAGACUUCCUAGGUAUGUUUUAAUUGUAUUUACCCACAUCAAAUGUUUAAAUGGGUGUAAUUUUUCCCUGCAUAUUUUUGUUGCAUAUUUUGUUACUUGGGCCCUGUGCCUUUUUUAUAGUGCACUCUUAAGAUACAUAUUUUGACAAACUUGCAUUUUUUAAGCUUCUAAGGAAACUGUAGCUUUUUUUGUCAGGAACAGUAGUGUGUUAAACAUAACUAAAACUGAGAAAGAUGUAAAUGAAACUAUAAGGGCUUAUUUUACAUGUCAAAUCUUUAUGACACUUUCUAUCUCAAUAUAAUUGUAAGUGUCCAUAUAACCAUAUCACUUCAAAUGUCCUUAUUGCUAUAGGAUUUUUUUUCUAGGAGACAGGAAUACAGGUUUUGAGGCAACAAAUUUGGUUUUUAAGGGGGUGUUGCUCUUAAGUUUUAUCACACUGGUGGUUAUACAGAUUUAACCAAUUCCAGUAGAAAAUCGGAUUCCUGUAGCUAAAUUUUUAAAUUAGUUCAAAAAUAUGUGUAUAUACCAGACUUUAAUAAUGAACAGAAAACAACCUAGUUCAUGUGAUGAAGAACUCUCAUACCAAAUGCAAGGAAGACCUUCGGAUUGCUAUUAUUAAGGUAAGUUGUACUAAUAUGUGGGGACUCUGUGCCAUUACUAAAUUCCCAGGUAAAAUGUUUGUGUAUUUGUGAAAAAAAAUUGUCCUGCUUUUUGAUGGAUGGGUUUGAUCUGUAAUCUUCCUGAGAAGCUGCCAUUGCAUCAUCUUCUAAGAGUAUUCUACAAGAUUUUAUUUAUGUAACAAAUCUUUAUAUGCUCUUCAAAAACAUAGAAGUUGCAGCAUUACGGAAAUUCGUGAGAGUCAUCUCACUUCACUUAGGGUAUCUAAAAGUUAGAACUCUUUAAGACUGAGCUAGUCUAUCAAGAAAAACACCUUCAGUGGACAAAGCAUACCAUCUGUUUUAGACACUAAUCUCAGAACAAAGUGAUUCGCUGUUUAGAAAUGUGUGUUUCUGAACACAUUUGAUUAUGAAAGACGUUUAAGAUGACUAGUUCAGGCAUCUAGGUGUCUAAUGUUUGGACUUAAGGUCACCUAGAGGAGGCUAAGGACAGGAUUCUUCCAUAUACAGUGUUUCAAAAUACCACCCACAUCCUCCCGGAGCUUCAAGCCCUGUUCUGCAAAUCCUUAUUUGCGACUUCAGUGCACGAGGCCCUUUAGGAAUUAAGGAAACUUAACACGAUUAGCAGAAUUGUUCUCUCUAAUAUUCUUUCCAUCAGUCAGUUUAUCAUAUUUCAGACAUGGAUUUACUUUAUACGUUUACUCUGUACUCGUCAGAUACAAGAUUUUGUUGUUAGAUAUGACAGUAGUUUCACUAGUAGCAAGAAGAAAAUCAAGCCAGUCUUACAGAUGUACUGGGUGAUAGGGGCAUGUAGUAUAUUUGCAUCUAAACCCUGCCACCAAGCCCCCUUUUCUCUUCCCAACCUGUUCUGCAUUUAAAAAAGAAAAGAAAGGACACUUGGUGCUAGUAGUAUGCAGUUAUAUAGAGCAGCAAUUUUUUUUUUUUUCCUCCGUUACUCCAUUAGUUUGUGUUUCUACAUAAUUUUUUUUCUGUAGCUUUUUCCAGGGAUGAGUUAGGGCUGCAUUGGAAGUGACUUUGUACACAAAAAUCUGGAGCCUGAUUAAUGACACUGUCUUACAUCUUGAUGUUCCCAGUGAAAAUAAUCCUUUUUAUUCAUUUAAUAACUACAGUAGGAGAUACCUUGAACUUGCUUUGAUAAGUGAAUACUAAGUACAAGUACUUCUAAAGUUGCAGUCAGUAUUUGAAUUACACAUAGAAGAGGAAAUUAGGUAUGUGUCACAUUCCCUUUCAGAAGUGUUGCUUUUAAUUUCAUUAGGAAAAUUGGUAUUAAUGUAAUAUGCAGUGCUAAACUUUAAUAUUGAAUUUUAAGCCAUCCUAGCUUCCAAAUUGAUACAAGUAUAUGGAUUGUUGAGAUUUAGGAACAUUAUUGUUCAGAGAUUCAAGUUGUGAUAGAAAUCCUGAAUUUGUCAUGUGAGCUAGUGUUAAUUAUCAAUAUUUAGGUCAUAUCUAAGGAGAUGUAAAAUUCAUAACAAAAGCAAAACAGACUGUUGUUUUAUCUAGUAAGAUCACCUAGGUGUUUGUGGGGAAGCACCAGCCAAAAUGAUUUCUGAAAUGUUUUCAGUUUCGUUAGCAGACUAACAUACAUCUUACAGUAAUAGGAAGCAUUAUUUUUAAUUAUACUGGAGGAGGACAAACUUUAAACAGCAUCAUAUAUGCACAUUUUUUUCCUUAAGGAACAACAAAAGCAGUUGGUGUCUACUGCUUUACUCUGCUGAGAGCUUUUACACUUCAAGUUUUACACCAAAUAAUAUCAUGUAUUGCAUUUGUAAUAUUUGUCCAUUAUAUGCACUGCUGCCCUGUAAAAAGGGGGUAAAAGAACACUUCAGACAUGAAGUUUGUUGAUGCAGAGGUUUAUCAGCAGUAUCAAUGUAUAUAUCUGAAGCACCUGAACUCAGGUUUCUGCUUGAUAGAGCAAAACUUGAGAGAGACUUUUUUCUAUAUUUUUGCUGUUAAUUGCCAAGUAAAAGUCAGCAGCAAAUGUAUCAGCAGUUUUAAAAUAGAAAAUGAAUCUGAAAGGGCGGGAAAGAAGAUAGACGUUUGUGGUAUCCCAAUUUUGAAACUGUCCAGUUAUAAGUAUACUUAAGUACUCAUCAGUGCUUCAAAUCUUUGUUGAAGUUCAGCUGACUUACCUUAUUAGACUUAGAAGAAAUACAUGAACCAGUAAUUUACUGAACUCAGGUGUUAAAGCUACUUAAACAUCUUAACUGCAUUUAUUGAUAAAAGUAACUAAGCGCACAGGAGAGUUCUUGUGGUAGAACUUCCUGAGUAAAAAGCACACCAAGCCACUAAACUUCUGUUUACUUAACUGUAGACAGAUAAAUAGUAUGAGCUUAUAGCUAUCUAUUAUAACAUGUUAUAUGGUGCUAGUAUUUCAAAGAAGUUGUUCAUGACUGCCACUUCAAAGGGGAAGUAUUUCAUUAAGAGAAAAGCACAAUGGUUUUGGUACCUCUCCUGCUUUUUACAGCAGUCAAUUACAGAGACACAACUUCACGCUGCCACCUCCUGGAAGUGGGAGGCCAGGUUUGAGGAGCCCUGGCUCUGGUGAUACAAAUUUCCUUUUAUUAUCCCCUUUUAGUUUUCUUUCUUCUGCAGCUAAACUUUUCUACACCCAAGACCUAUUCACAAAGUGAAUAGCUCCUGCUUGUACAGUUAGAGAUCCCAGAUACAAAGGUCGCUUGGACUGCUUUGUUCCUAUACACCUCUAACAAAAUAUGGAGACACUGUAAAGGGAAUACAGUGAUACUGGAAGCCCAUCAUCAGAAAAUGUGAUGCGCAUACCAAAAUGCUAGGAUUAUAGCAUAUAUAAUUUAUGUAUUUUUUUCUUGUGUCAUUUUUUUUUUGUUUCCGUAAUAACAGUACGAAGGCAGGAAAGAAAGAAAAUAUCCCACUAUAAAUAGAGCAGGAGGAAAAUGUAGUACACUCAAGACAGGAGUUACGGCUCAGGAGGUAAUAGUGAUGUAGGAAGCUGUAAGUACCAUUGCGAAAAGGAAAAAGUAAGGCCUUGUUUGCACACUGACUAGUGUCAAUAUAAUGCUUCUCUUUGGGCAAGAUUGUACCAGCUUAAGUUGUGACUAUUCAAUUGAGUGCAGUGUAUGUGGAUAUACUGCUGUUGGUUUAGCUUAACUAUUAAAAAAUAUUUUACUUAAACUGAGGAGCUGUUCUUAAGUCAUAAGUAUGUUUGUCUGCAAGGACUGACUAGUUAAACUUGAUGCCUUUGUUUUGGUGUGAGUGCUUCCCCACAGGAAAAACUAGCCUGUGCCACGUUCCAUACUGUUAUAACUAAACUACUUCUGGCAUCUGAAUUAACUCCUUGAAAGCUAAGGUGUCUUUGCUUAAUGCUGUGUUCUGCAAUGUAGACCCUUAUUAAGAGGCAAUAAGUAUUGAGUAGUACCAGGGGAAUAAAAAAAAUUAUUUUACGUUACUGGCCAUUUUCUGGGACACGUGGCUGCUGUAUAGGUAGGUCUAGCCUUAACUCUUUGUAACUAGGGGAGUUUUCAGAAAGGCUGCUGGCAGACCAAAUAAUGAUCAGAAUACCUAAGAUGAGUCUGCCAGAACUUCUGAGAAAUUCAUGUUGGAGAUCUUCUGGCCUUGGAAAGAUUAUAGUACAGGAGUGGCUGGUGUAACGCAGCUCUGGUGCUGAACUUGCAUCGUGAGAGUGGCAGGGGCUGUGCUGGCACAUGAUCUGAACUCUGGCUGUGGAGUGAGGCAGACCAGUAGUGGCUGCUGAAGCCAACAUUCCCUGGGACCCAGCCAAUUAAAAGGAGCAGUGGGAUCCUUGGGGAGCAAUUAUCAUCUCCUGCCUGUGAACUACUGGAGCUCCCCUUCUCUGCUCUACAAGGUAUGUUAACAUCUGUCCUGUGGCUGUCAGCCACAUGAAGAUUUUUGCCAUGUCUCUUAAGUUAGGAAGGCUGGUCCCUACUCCUGGCAUAUUUCCUAUUUUGCCUUUCAAGCACCAAGCACCUAGCACACCCAAGGCGCUUGGACGACAGAAAGCCAGCACUCUUGCCAUAAUGGGUGCGUGGCUUCAGUAUAAGGAACCAUUGCUGAGGGGAAGGGUUGGGGGGGGGGCAGAAACCUGGUACAACUUACGGAUGCACUAUGAAUAUUAGGGUGGUUUAUCUCUUGUCAUCAACACUGAAAGUGAUGAAAGUUUGAUUAAAAAAACUCACCACCCUCUAUUGCUGUUUUGCUUUCUUUUACUAAUAUUACUUUAGUUCUUUGAACUUGCUUACUUGACUGCAUAGCCAGUGAAAAAGAUCUUCCUCUGCUAGUCCCCAAAUAAAAGGGAUUUUUUGAGGUGAUCACUUGCACUUUGGAGUCAAGUUUUGCUGCCGAUCUUGCUGAUGAUUCAUUGUGUGAUCUGUACUGAACUUGGAGCCUGAAGAUGGCCUGUCCCUGCAAGGACUGAUGAUACCAAUCCAUGAACGGUCUGGAAAAUAAGGAGCCCUUUUUCUUGCCUCUUCCACUCGGGAGUGGUGUAGUUGUGAAGAUGCAGUCGGCAAAUGUAGAUCAGAUAAAUCACUGUAAUUUCAUGUAGAUUAAAACAAACAAAGCUUUGCGUGUCUAAGCUACAGAUUUGCAUGAGCAUAGCUACAGCCUUGGCUUGAAUGCAAACAAAUCACCACCACAAAAAAGGCCCUUGUCUCAGAGUUUCUUAAUUAACUUUAAAGACAGGUUUACUUUCUUUGUGUGCCUGAAUGUAAGGGCUUGGCACACUGGCAGCUUGAUUACCGAGGUUCUCAUUGUGGUGCAGAUUAGAACUGAUAGAGGCUUUUGAAGAAAAACAGCAGGGCAGGGGGCACACCUCUGAAACACUGUAGUGUUUGAUAAUAAAGUCUUGAAAGUGGAAGCAGACACAUUGUUCCAUAGGCAAUUAACAGUGAAAAAACUAACCGUGAAACCUAUUUAAGAAUAGUUCAACACUUUUGAAUUAUUUAGAACUAAUGCUAAACUAUCUUUGAGGGAAAUGACAAAAAGUCUAGCAAAAACAGGUUUCAGGAAAGCAACAGUUGAAUGGUCGUGGAACUGAAGCGGUUACAAACUACACCUCACCUUCACAGCCUUGGGCACUGAAUGUUCAGUGCCACAAGAGGGUGCUUCAGUGGCACCUAACAGGAUUGACUCUUCGACAAGUUUCUGAGGCUCUGAGAUGUCAGGCAUGCAUUCCAGCAGUGUGACUAUGCAAAGGCUGCUCUUGAGGAACGUCUCGUAACUGGUACGCUGGAGCUACUGAUGAAAAGGACCGGCAACAUCGCAGUAUAAAAUACAGUGGCCAGUAUGUAUAGUAGGCAUUGACUGCGUCUUCAAGUUGUUCGUGGACUGCAAAGCCAAGCAAUUUGAAAUUCAUGGUCUGAGAGAAUACCUGUUCCAUCAUACGUCCCAUCAAUUUGCUGAGUGACUGUGGCAUCUGUUUAGAAGUUAAAUUCCACAUGUGUUGGGAUACUGCUCUGAAAAGAGUACAUAUUUCUAUUAAUUCUUCCAAACAUAAUACUUGCCAUAGUUUCUUACCUAUCAGAAGAUAGUGUAAGCUUUGGGGUGUGCCCAUGUUGCAGCUAAGUCAAUAGAAGAGCAAGCUUCCACCAGAAGAGGCAGUCCUGCUCCUUCCUCUUCCUCAGCUGGGUGCUCCUGUGCAUUGGAUCUAAGACCCAUGUAAUGACACAGGGAGUUGGUUCAGCCAAAUUACGUGGCAGCACAUUAAUCUUGUCACUAAAGACCAAAACUUGAUAGGACAAAAAUUCUAGUUUCUCAUAGUCAAAAUAGGAUAAGAGGUUUUUUAGAUUAUGUUCAACUACAGCCAUCAAAAGUUAUUUGCGUAUGGAGGAUUUAAGUAGUCUUGAUUCCUUGUCAAAAUGUGCACGUGAUCUGACUGUCCUUCAAAUAGUGAUGUGUCCUGUAAAUUUGCAAAAGUAGUUGGUAGGUGUUCUGAAGCACUGAAUGACCUACAUGUGACUGAAUUAGUACAUACAAAAUCUGUACCAUCAAUUUCUCCAAUCAACAGGUACUGCUAGGUAGACAGUUUUAAUUGGUAUAAAGUAGUAUCGUAGUUUGAAAUUUUAUGAAGUACUUGCGCAUCUUCUGUUGCUGUGCUAAAGCAGCACAGAAUUACAUGCCUUACUUUGGAAACCUUUCUAAAUAGUCACGAUAUCAGCUUGCAGAAUAAAGGAUGCUUCUGCAUCUUUCUUCUGGGACCCUUUUUGAUUCUGCUGCCCUUCAACCCUGGGAACUUCAAUCUACCUUUGUACUAGUACCAUUUAUUUAUUUAUUUUACAAGUACGUAUUCUUACUAUGAUAUAGCUGUGUAACAUAGCAAGGUUUGUGGUGUGGAUAUAGUUCUCACAUAUAUACAAUAUCUGACACAAAACUUCUUGUGCUAUUUUUAGUUUUAUCAAUGUAGUUCUUGUUAACUAAUUUGAACUAAUGAUUAAAAAGAUAGUGUAUAGAGGAUUAAAUACAAAUUUAGAAUUUCAUAUUUUGUACUUCUGCUGUAAACCUAAAGAACUAAAUGUCUUAGCACUGAGGACUGAAUUUCACUGUCAUCAUUUUGAAACGCAAGCUGUGCUGUCCUGCCUUACCAUGAUGAGUCACAGAAACGUGCUUCUGUCCUACCUGCCUGCAAAGGUACAAUUCUGUGCAGAAGAUGCAAUAAACCAGGAAAAAGAGAA
Harpia harpyja (harpy eagle) is the source of this 10616-nucleotide RNA transcript. It is a transcript of the gene named death inducer-obliterator 1, with no coding region annotated. The transcript has 8 exons. Lineage: Eukaryota; Metazoa; Chordata; Aves; Accipitriformes; Accipitridae. The record is from RefSeq and is a predicted model, not a curated record.